RNAcentral lists this ribosomal RNA (590 nucleotides) under uncultured Parabacteroides sp. Its description in RNAcentral is "bacterial SSU rRNA". It matches the Rfam family "Bacterial small subunit ribosomal RNA", at positions 88 to 676 of the family's 1533-position model. Lineage: Bacteria; Pseudomonadati; Bacteroidota; Bacteroidia; Bacteroidales; Tannerellaceae. The record is from RNAcentral.
AUGGCGACCGGCGCACGGGUGAGUAACACGUAUCCAACCUACCCAUGACUCGGGGAUAGCCUUUCGAAAGAAAGAUUAAUACCCGAUGGUAUAUGUUUCCUGCAUGGGAGAUAUAUUAAAGAAUUUCGGUGAUGGAUGGGGAUGCGUUCCAUUAGUUUGUUGGCGGGGUAACGGCCCACCAAGACUUCGAUGGAUAGGGGUUCUGAGAGGAAGGUCCUCCACAUUGGAACUGAGACACGGUCCAAACUCCUACGGGAGGCAGCAGUGAGGAAUAUUGGUCAAUGGACGAGAGUCUGAACCAGCCAAGUAGCGUGAAGGAUGACUGCCCUUUGGGUUGUAAACUUCUUUUAUAUGGGAAUAAAGUGGGGUAUGUAUACCCUUUUGUAUGUACCAUUAUGAAUAAGCAUCGGCUAACUCCGUGCCAGCAGCCGCGGUAAUACGGAGGAUGCGAGCGUUAUCCGGAUUUAUUGGGUUUAAAGGGAGCGUAGGUGGUCGAUUAAGUCAGUUGUGAAACUUUGGGGCUCAACCUUAAAAUUGCAGUUGAUACUGAUUGUCUUGAGUGCGUUAAAGGUGGGCGGAAUUCGUGGUGU